RNAcentral lists this unclassified non-coding RNA (693 nucleotides) under Hevea brasiliensis (rubber tree). Lineage: Eukaryota; Viridiplantae; Streptophyta; Magnoliopsida; Malpighiales; Euphorbiaceae. The record is from RNAcentral.
CUGAGAUGCUGGGUCAAAAUCCAUCCUGUGAAAGCUCAAGCACCUGAUCAACCAGGAAGCGUGAUACUUGCAAAAGAACCAGUUCUUCAAGCAAAUUUUGCUCGUGCUGUUGCAUCUCUCAGCAAGGCACAAGCCAAGAAGGUUGCUCGAUUCCUUCCAAAUCCUGAAAGGCAUUGGGGGCCAAAACUUAGGGCAGGUCGUCAAAUUACGAGGAAACAUGUCUCUCUUUUGGGUCCAGAGGCUGUGAAUGGACAUCUUAACCAUGAAAACGGCGAAGAACCUGAAGCCAAGCGUCAAAAAACUGAGGAAAUGGAGGCUUCUAUGUCAAUUUCAUGAGAAUGGAGCUGUUUUAUAGUACUAAACCUGAACUGGUCCAUUGUCAGAAUAGAUUUUCUGCUGAGAGAAGGCCUCAUACACCCCCCAAGUAAUGAAAUUUAAUGAAAUUUCAAAAUGCCAUUGAAGUUGACAACUGUGGCAGAACUAGCAGCAAUCUUGCGCCAAUUUUGAGUUUGAUGUAAGAUGUUAUUUGUUUCAUGCUAUUAAUAUUUAUUGACUUGCUAUUUUGUUGUGACCAUUUGCCUUUUUUGUUACCCUUAUGAAAGAUCAAAGGAUAUUCAAGUUGAGGAAUGUUAUUAACAUUUUUUCGUACUUUCAUUUAACUAGAAACCUUUGUAUUGACGUUUUUUUUUUUUU